RNAcentral lists this ribosomal RNA (252 nucleotides) under uncultured bacterium. RNAcentral describes it as "partial 16S ribosomal RNA". It matches the Rfam family "Bacterial small subunit ribosomal RNA", at positions 524 to 776 of the family's 1533-position model. The record is from RNAcentral.
UACGUAGGGUGCGAGCGUUGUCCGGAAUUAUUGGGCGUAAAGGGCUCGUAGGCGGUUUGUCGCGUCGGGAGUGAAAUCCACUGGCUUAACUGGUGGCUUGCUUCGAUACGGGCAGACUGGAGGUAUGCAGGGGAGAACGGAAUUCCUGGUGUAGCGGUGAAAUGCGUAGAUAUCAUUUGGAACGCCAAUGGUGAAAACAGGUAGCUGGGAUUGUGCUGACACUGAGACACGAAAGCCAGGGGAGCGAACGGG